AGGGGUUGUCGGGGAAGAGGCUGGACACCUCGGGGGAGGCUGGAACUGGCCGAGAGGGUCGCCCCCACCUUGGUGGCUUCCUGUAGCGCGCCCAGAGCACAGUUUUGGCAUGCCACGGCAUGCUGGUGCGCUCUGAGGCACUUUGGACAUUUCCAGCAUGUCCUGGCACUGGCUGGGAGUGAGGCUAGCCAUUUGGGUCUCGUGGGAGCUUUGGCUCGUCAAGGGAGACAAGGAAUACUGGUGCUGUCAGCUUUGAACUAAAGCUUAGAUUGGGGUUUUUUGGCAUUUCCACUUUGAACCAGUGAGGGGCCAGUUGACAGGGGUUGGGCAUUGAUACUGGCCACCUAAUCUAUGAGUUUGGAGCAAAGGGGUUGGGUUUAGCUGUGGCUA
This 390-nucleotide long non-coding RNA is filed under the name Hordeum vulgare. RNAcentral describes it as "long non-coding RNA (HVUL_LNC004657)". The record is from RNAcentral. Lineage: Eukaryota; Viridiplantae; Streptophyta; Magnoliopsida; Poales; Poaceae.